Non-coding RNA from Chlorocebus sabaeus (green monkey), 392 nucleotides. Lineage: Eukaryota; Metazoa; Chordata; Mammalia; Primates; Cercopithecidae. The record is from RefSeq and is a predicted model, not a curated record.
GUCGCUGCCUGGCCGCGGUUGCGCCGGGGGCGGAGGAGUGAGGUCCUGACAGAACCAGAGUUGUUAAAGCAGGGACGCGCGAAGGGCGGGAGUACGGGCGGCGCUGGAGAACCUCCGCGGGGGAGGGGCCUGUGGGUGGACCGCGCCCGCGAGCCCGCCCUGAUGGGGAAACAGCCUCUUGCUCUAUCACCCAUACUUGGAGUGCAGUAUUACAAUGAUAGCUCACUGCAGCCUCAAACUCCUGGGCUCAAGCAAUCCUCCCACCUCAACCUCCCAGAAAAAAAAGCCUUAUGAAGACACCGCUAGAGGACAACUAUGUGCAAACCAGGAAGAGAGACCUCACCAGAAGCCUGCUGGUGGUACCUUGAUCUUAGACUUCCAGCCUCCAGAAC